ACACACACACACACACACACACACACACACACACACACACACCUCAUCUCCUUUUAAAACACAACCAGGAAAUCACCACUUAUUCCAACAAACGUUUGCCUCAAGUCAGGAACUAGAACUUUUUUCAUUCUUCAAGAGAUAGCACAUAGAGACUUCUUUUAACCGGAGUGUUAAUCCAGCAGUGGGUGAGAUGGCACACGGAGCAUAGAGAAAGAAAAACCGGGGAAAGUGAUGGAGUGUACGAAUCUGAGAUGUGUAUUACAAAUGUCUCCUCUGGUUUUAAUGCACCGUUGCCCGUCGGUGAAGGAUGCAGGCUAAAGCUCAGCACACAUGAAGCCCAUUUACCAUCAUCCCGCAUCUGUUCUCACUAAUCCCCUCCAGACGUAACAAUAUGCUGUCCAAUAAGAUUAUGAUUGCUCAAUAAGCCUUAUCUAUGUAAUUCAGAAAACAUAUAGGGCUUUAAGCGAGCUGGCUAGGUUCGAACAGUUUGGAGCUAAUCUGGAGUCAGUCUGGAGUCAAUCUGUGCUGCCGGGUGGGAGGAGGGAAUUAUUUUAAUCUGGUCGAAAUAAUCCUGUGAUUCCCCACCAAUCUGUUUUGUUUUAUUAAAAGCCGAGUGCGUGAGUUGAUUUAACGUCAUACUAAUCUUCAGGUCGCUGACUCGCUGAGCUCCAGGACACCCUGGAAGUUCACAAUGUGUGAUGUGUAUCAUUUACACACACACCGUUAUUAAAUAAAUCUGCACUUUAAUUGAUUAGACAUGCAGAUUAUGAUGUUGUGGGAAUAUACAGAUUACUGUAUUGAGUGUGACUUGUUUAAUAAAGGUGUAAUCACUAUUUAAUUAACACCACUAUUUACAGCUUUAUCAAAUAUUGAGUUUUCAGGUUUUGCUUUAAUAUUUUAUUAGAUACUUGUUUAUAAAAGGAUUGAUUUAUUAAAAACAUUAUUUUAUAUGUUCAUGAAAUCACAGGUUUAUUAAAAUGUGAUGUAAAAUUAAACAUGAACAGCAACUUUCAAGACUCAUGAACUGUGUUUGGAACCUUUACAGGUUCUGGGGUUAGCUGCGGAGGUGAGGGGACAGUUCAGGUUCUACAAAGAAUUUAAUC
Molecule: long non-coding RNA, 1103 nt
Organism: Silurus meridionalis
Lineage: Eukaryota; Metazoa; Chordata; Actinopteri; Siluriformes; Siluridae
Exons: 3
Source: RefSeq, a predicted model, not a curated record